Molecule: ribosomal RNA, 346 nt
Filed under: uncultured bacterium
Lineage: Bacteria
Description: partial 16S ribosomal RNA
Rfam family: Bacterial small subunit ribosomal RNA
Source: RNAcentral
CCUACGGGUGGCAGCAGUGAGGAAUAUUGGUCAAUGGGCGCGAGCCUGAACCAGCCAAGUAGCGUGAAGGAUGACUGCCCUACGGGUUGUAAACUUCUUUUAUAAAGGAAUAAAGUGAGGCACGUGUGCCUUUUUGUAUGUACGUUAUGAAUAAGGAUCGGCUAACUCCGUGCCAGCAGCCGCGGUAAGACGGAGGAUCCGAGCGUUAUCCGGAUUUAUUGGGUUUAACGGGAGCGUAGAUGGGUUGUUAAGUCAGUGGUGAAAGUUUGCGGCUCAACCGUAAAAUUGCAAUUGAUACUGGCAGUCUUGAUUCCAUUUGAGUUCGGCGGAAUUCGUGUUGUCGCGG